GAUGAACGCUAGCGACAGGCUUAACACAUGCAAGUCGAGGGGCAGCACAGGUAGCAAUACCGGGUGGCGACCGGCGCACGGGUGAGUAACGCGUAUGCAACUUACCUAUCAGAGGGGGAUAACCCGGCGAAAGUCGGACUAAUACCGCAUGAAGCAGGGGUCCCGCAUGGGGAUAUUUGCUAAAGAUUCAUCGCUGAUAGAUAGGCAUGCGUUCCAUUAGGCAGUUGGCGGGGUAACGGCCCACCAAACCGACGAUGGAUAGGGGUUCUGAGAGGAAGGUCCCCCACAUUGGUACUGAGACACGGACCAAACGCCUACGGGAGGCAGCAGUGAGGAAUAUUGGUCAAUGGCCGAGAGGCUGAACCAGCCAAGUCGCGUGAGGGAUGAAGGUUCUAUGGAUCGUAAACCUCUUUUAUAAGGGAAUAAAGUGCGGGACGUGUCCCGUUUUGUAUGUACCUUAUGAAUAAGGAUCGGCUAACUCCGUG
This 485-nucleotide ribosomal RNA is filed under the name uncultured bacterium. Its description in RNAcentral is "partial 16S ribosomal RNA". It matches the Rfam family "Bacterial small subunit ribosomal RNA", at positions 28 to 507 of the family's 1533-position model. The record is from RNAcentral.